GACGAACGCUGGCGGCGUGCUUAACACAUGCAAGUCGAACGGAAAGGCCCCUUUGGGGGUACUCGAGUGGCGAACGGGUGAGUAACACGUGAGUAACCUGCCCUUGACUUCGGGAUAACUUCAGGAAACUGGGGCUAAUACCGGAUAGGAAUCCUUGCUGCAUGGUGGGGGUUGGAAAGCUUCGGCGGUUUUGGAUGGACUCGCGGCUUAUCAGCUUGUUGGUGGGGUAGUGGCUUACCAAGGCUUUGACGGGAAGCCGGCCUGAGAGGGCGACCGGCCACAUUGGGACUGAGAUACGGCCCAGACUCCUACGGGAGGCAGCAGUGGGGAAUAUUGCACAAUGGGCGGAAGCCUGAUGCAGCAACGCCGCGUGCGGGAUGACGGCCUUCGGGUUGUAAACCGCUUUCAGCAGGGGCGAAGCUUGUGGUGACGGUACCUGCAGAAGAAGCACCGGCUAACUACGUG
Molecule: ribosomal RNA, 465 nt
Filed under: uncultured bacterium
Lineage: Bacteria
Description: partial 16S ribosomal RNA
Rfam family: Bacterial small subunit ribosomal RNA
Source: RNAcentral